RNAcentral lists this ribosomal RNA (120 nucleotides) under Bison bison bison. The record is from RNAcentral. Lineage: Eukaryota; Metazoa; Chordata; Mammalia; Artiodactyla; Bovidae.
GUCUCAGGCCGUAUCAGCCUGAAGGCGCCCGAUCUCGUCUGAUUUCGGAAGCUAAGCAGGGUCGGGCCUGGUUAGGAUCUUGGAUGGGAGACCACCUGGGAAUCCCGGGUGCUCGAGGUC